Molecule: long non-coding RNA, 445 nt
Filed under: Citrus sinensis (sweet orange)
Lineage: Eukaryota; Viridiplantae; Streptophyta; Magnoliopsida; Sapindales; Rutaceae
Description: long non-coding RNA (CSIN_LNC002600)
Source: RNAcentral
CGGGAAGGGUUCAAAACCAUGGGUGUCACUUCCUAAGGGCAAGGGUAUUAAGUUGUCCAUCAUUGAGGAAGCUAGGAAGAGACAGGCUGCCCAGGCUGCUGCUUAAGCUUUUACAAUGAAUUUGGAUGCAUUUUGCUGCUUUGUUUUUUCUUGUUGAAUUAGAGCUGAUUGGCACUCUCUAAAGCUGAAGUAGGACCGAUGCAAAAAUGAAUCUUUAUUUUUAUUUUUAUUUUUAUCAGCACAAUUUUGAACCUGCUUUGUCCUUUUUUAUUUUAGCUACUAUUUGGUGGAUGUUAUUUUCAACUAUUUAAUCUAAGUUCAUGUAUCUCUUUAUCGUUUCUGUUUGUAAUUUUGGGCUUAUGGUUUUCCACUUUUGUAUUUGAAAUGUAUUAAGCAUUGGGGUCUGGUUAAACCUGAAUGGGGAUCAGGGUACUUUUCCUCUCUC